UAAGACGAACCGUGCGAACGUUGUUCGGAAUCACUGGGCUUAAAGGGCGCGUAGGCGGUCUGCCAAGUCCGGGGUGAAAGCCCCCAGCUCAACUGGGGAAGUGCCUUGGAUACUGGCGGACUUGAGGGAGGCAGGGGUUGUGGGAACUUCCGGUGGAGCGGUGAAAUGCGUUGAUAUCGGAAGGAACGCCGGUGGCGAAAGCGCACAACUGGUCCUCUUCUGACGCUGAGGCGCGAAAGCCAGGGGAGCAAACGGGAUUAGAUACCCCGGUAGUCCUGGCCCUAAACGAUGGGUACUAGAUUGUGGGCUAACAUGGGUUCACAGUCGAAGCAAAAGUGGUAAGUACCCCGCCUGGGGAGUAUGGUCGCAAGGCUG
RNAcentral lists this ribosomal RNA (375 nucleotides) under uncultured bacterium. Its description in RNAcentral is "bacterial SSU rRNA". It matches the Rfam family "Bacterial small subunit ribosomal RNA", at positions 521 to 896 of the family's 1533-position model. The record is from RNAcentral.